AAUGCAGAAAUUGUGUGUAUAUGCUUUGUGCUAUUAAUAAUGCACUUUGCUCGAAAGUGUUCUCUGCUAAAUUAAUAUCAUUGGGGGAAGAUGAGCAAUUGUGUUUCAUCUAUUUCACUGGAACUUUUCAAUAAUUAUUUUACCCAUAUCU
This is a non-coding RNA of Capsicum annuum, 151 nucleotides long. The record is from Rfam. NCBI's taxonomy places the organism in Eukaryota, Viridiplantae, Streptophyta, Magnoliopsida, Solanales, Solanaceae.